RNAcentral lists this transfer RNA (73 nucleotides) under Cordylochernes scorpioides. RNAcentral describes it as "tRNA-Lys". Lineage: Eukaryota; Metazoa; Arthropoda; Arachnida; Pseudoscorpiones; Chernetidae. The record is from RNAcentral.
CACCAACCACGGGGCUCGAGCCCACGACCCUGAGAUUAAGAGUCUCAUGCUCUACAGACUGAGCUUGCCAGGC